CCGAGAAUCUUCCGCAAUGGGCGAAAGCCUGACGGAGCGACACCGCGUGUAGGAUGAAGGUCUUCGGAUUGUAAACUACUGUCACUUGGGAAGAGAUUUGCUGCAACUAAUAAUUGUUGCAAUUGACUGUACCAAGAGAGGAAGCCACGGCUAACUCUGUGCCAGCAGCCGCGGUAAUACAGAGGUGGCGAGCGUUGUUCGGAUUGAUUGGGUGUAAAGGGUGCGUAGGCGGUUUGGAAAGUUGGAUGUGAAAUCCUAUGGCUUAACCAUAGAACUGCAUUCAAAACUUCUAAACUAGAGUGCGAGAGAGGUGAAGGGAAUUCCCGGUGUAAGGGUGAAAUCUGUAGAGAUCGGGAGGAACACCAGUAGCGAAGGCGCUUCACUGGCUCGUAACUGACGCUGAGUGCACGAAAGCGUGGGGAGCAAACG
RNAcentral lists this ribosomal RNA (429 nucleotides) under uncultured prokaryote. RNAcentral's name for it is "bacterial SSU rRNA". It matches the Rfam family "Bacterial small subunit ribosomal RNA", at positions 355 to 774 of the family's 1533-position model. The record is from RNAcentral.